AAAAAAGCUAUGAUGGAGACAAGUAAAAAAAAUAAUCACCAAUAGUGAGCUGGAGAUAGUGUAAACCCAGUGGCAGAGUUUUUUUGAAUAACACUCCGGAGUUGUAAACUGAAAUAUUUUUAGAUUGUAAUUUAAACUAUUAUGUUUGAUUCAGAUUUAAAUAAAGUAGGUGCGCCGUAUUCCAUACGUUAUUUGGAUACCAGUAAUAGCUGGAAAGAGAGACCAUAUGGUAAAUUAGGUGGCACCGCGGGUAAACGUCAAUUCGUCCUAUUA
This 273-nucleotide non-coding RNA is filed under the name Clostridium taeniosporum. Its description in RNAcentral is "T-box sequence". It matches the Rfam family "T-box leader". From Rfam's summary of the family: Uncharged tRNA acts as the effector for transcription antitermination of genes in the T-box leader family. T-boxes are found upstream of many aminoacyl-tRNA synthetase genes and some amino acid biosynthetic genes usually in Gram-positive bacteria. The record is from RNAcentral. Lineage: Bacteria; Bacillati; Bacillota; Clostridia; Eubacteriales; Clostridiaceae.